RNAcentral lists this ribosomal RNA (274 nucleotides) under uncultured bacterium. RNAcentral's name for it is "partial 16S ribosomal RNA". It matches the Rfam family "Bacterial small subunit ribosomal RNA", at positions 523 to 796 of the family's 1533-position model. The record is from RNAcentral.
CUACAGAGGGUGCGAGCGUUAAUCGGAAUUACUGGGCGUAAAGCGCGCGUAGGCGGCUUAUUAAGUCAGAUGUGAAAUCCCCGGGCUCAACCUGGGAACUGCAUCUGAUACUGGUAAGCUAGAGUUUUGGAGAGGGAAGUAGAAUUUCAGGUGUAGCGGUGAAAUGCAUAGAGAUCUGAAGGAAUACCAGUGGCGAAGGCGACUUCCUGGCCAAAACCUGACGCUGAGGUGCGAAAGCGUGGGUAGCAAACGGGAUUAGAUACCCUAGUAGUCC